UACAGAGGGUGCGAGCGUUGUUCGGAAUUAUUGGGCGUAAAGAGCUCGUAGGUGGUUCGGUAAGUCGGAUGUGAAAUCUCCAGGCUCAACCUGGAGGGGUCAUUCGAUACUGCCGUGACUAGAGUUCGGUAGGGGAGUGUGGAAUUCCUGGUGGAGCGGUGAAAUGCGCAGAUAUCAGGAGGAACACCCGUAGCGAAGGCGGCACUCUGGGCCGAUACUGACACUGAGGAGCGAAAGCGUGGGGAGCGAACAGG
This 254-nucleotide ribosomal RNA is filed under the name uncultured bacterium. RNAcentral describes it as "partial 16S ribosomal RNA". It matches the Rfam family "Bacterial small subunit ribosomal RNA", at positions 524 to 776 of the family's 1533-position model. The record is from RNAcentral.